Hemibagrus wyckioides is the source of this 5955-nucleotide RNA transcript. It is a transcript of the gene named mitogen-activated protein kinase binding protein 1, with no coding region annotated. The transcript has 32 exons. The record is from RefSeq and is a predicted model, not a curated record. NCBI's taxonomy places the organism in Eukaryota, Metazoa, Chordata, Actinopteri, Siluriformes, Bagridae.
UGCGGCUCUGAUCCUCUGCUGUGUGGGAAACCAACAGAUUUCAGCCAGCUAGCUUAGCUUUUACACUAACCUGGAUAGCUGACAGUUUAGGGUUUAACAGCGGUCUAAAAUAAACCAUGAUCAGGAUUGCUAGUAAAAUAUCUAAACAAACCGGAGCAGCGCUAGCGUGUAGCUGACCCUUUAUAGAAGUAAGAUCCAGCAUUGACCAAGCUAGUGGUUGCUAGGAAGCUAGCUAGCUAUAUAGGACGCUAAGAUUAAUAUAGGUUACACCAGUUCAAGACAGGAUGCUAUGACAAUCUGUAAUUUUUGGCGGACAUGGUUGAAGGCGUGCUUAUGAGUCUGUAUUUUAUUUAAGAAGCCACUUGAGACUCUAACAAACAAGCGGUGAGUUAAAAUCCCUCAGCAUUCUCAUUGGGAAUCAGCUGUCGGUGUUAUUUCACGAACACUAGGCCAUAUUUCAGUAGAACAAAACGCAACGUGUGAGAAAGUACAAUUUGGCUUCUUGUGUAUAAUGCGUUUUUUUUUUAUCGUUUCACCUCUUAUUAAAAGCAACAAAAGCGCCGUGGCUCGGUUCAUUAGUGGGCAGAUAAAGUGGUGAUUAGUCCACACCGGUCGCUCCUCCUACACUGACAGCCGGAGCUAGUCCGCGUUUUAUAUUAAAGCUAGGUUUGUAUGCAGCGGCAACGAGAAGAGGCUUUUCCCCAAAGAGAGGACUCGGAGCUCAGGGAGGAACUGCUGACUGCAUGAGAAUGAGCCAUGGUCCGUUUCACCACAUCAUCCACUGCAGUCAGGAGAAAGACUUUUAACAGCUCCGAGCAGCUUUACUGCAGAAGAACAGGACUGCAGCAGCUCACAGGACCAGCACAGCACCGGCGACCUGGUUUCCUAUCAUCAGUACAGUAAUGCCUGAACCUUACAUCCUAGAUUAUUUAAGACACCAUGUAACGUUUAGAAAAUAGUCUGGGAAAAGAGCGAUUUUUCAAGGUUUUGAGCUUAAAAGUAGCAGUUAGAUUUCCAUGAGAAGAGAUCAAGAUGACGAUGGAAAACUCGACCAUUAAGAAUCGGAUUAAAAACCUGCUCCGAUCUCCUUCGAUCAAGCUGAGGAGAAAUAAACCAAGAAACAACAAGGAAAACCUGGGAAAUAAGGUGACUCUUGAAAAGGUUUUGGGAAUUACUGCUGCAGGAAACCGUGCCUUGGCUUGUGACCCUCACUCUGGUUUGGUAGCAUACCCUGCAGGGUGCGUGGUGGUGCUCCUGAAUCCCAAGAAGAAUAAACAGUAUCAUAUUCUCAACAACUCCAGGAAAACAAUCACCACUCUAGCUUUCUCGCCAGAUGGCAAAUAUGUCGUCACAGGAGAGAGUGGUCAUAUGCCAGCAGUGCGUGUGUGGGAUGUGGUGGCAAGAACUCAGGUUGCAGAGCUACAGGAGCAUAAGUAUGGCGUGGCCUGUGUAGCUUUCUCUCCCAACAGCAAGUACAUCGUCAGUGUAGGCUACCAGCAUGACAUGAUUGUCAACGUCUGGGCCUGGAAGAAAAAUGUGCUGGUGGCUGCCAAUAAAGUCUCCAGUAAAGUGAUGGCCGUGUCAUUUUCGGAUGACAGCUCCUACUUUGUCACAGCAGGGAAUAGACAUGUCAAGUUUUGGUACCUGGACCACACCAAGGCCUCCAAGGUCAAUGCCACAGUGCCCUUACUGGGUCGUUCUGGGUUGCUGGGUGAACUCAGGAACAACUUCUUCAGUGAUGUGGCUUGUGGUAAGGGCCGGAAAGCCAGCAGCACAUUCUGUAUCACUUCCUCAGGCCUGCUGUGUGAGUUCAAUGACAAGAGGCUGCUGGAUAAGUGGGUGGAGCUUAGGAAAAACGACAAUAUCACAACUGGCUUAGCCACCGCUCUGUCUGUCACUGAAGAUCUGAUAUUCUGUGGCUGUGCUGAUGGAACUGUGCGAGCUUUCAACCCAGUCAACCUGCACUUCCUCUGCACUCUGCCCCGCCCACACAGCCUGGGCACUGACAUCGCCACGGUCACUGACGCAAGCCACCUAUUUGCAUACAAAUUGGAUGCUCGGUACCCUGACACAGUGGCUGUGUCGUAUGACCCCACCAACCGCUGGCUGUCCUGUGUUUACAACGAUCAUAGUCUGUAUGUCUGGGAUGUUCGUGACUUUCACAAAGUGGGAAAGGUUUACUCUGCCCUGUAUCAUGCCUCUUGUGUGUGGAGUGUAGAGAUGUACCCACAGAACAGUGAGAGAGAGAGGUCUUGUCUUCCUCUGGGAUCCUUCCUUAGCUGCUCUUCUGACAACACCAUCCGCCUUUGGAACACAGACGGAUACAAUGCCACAGUCAAGCGCAACGUCAUCAGCAAUGACCUCCAGAAAAUAAUUUAUAUAGACAAUAAUGUCGCCGCUUUGCUGGACCCGGACUGCACCAUCUCCAACAAUUCAGAGAAAGCUGAUCCACAGACCUCCGAGAACAGGACUGGCAUUAGGACCAUGUGUGUCAGCCCAGACGGUCAGCACCUGGCAUCAGGGGACCGCAAUGGAAUACUAAGGAUCCAUGAGCUACAGAGCAUGGAGGAGAUUCUUAAUGUGCAGGCCCACGACUCAGAGAUCCUAUGUUUGGAGUAUUCAAAGCCUGAGACAGGCUUGAGGCUGUUGGCCACAGCAAGCAGAGACAGGCUAAUCCAUGUUCUUGAUGCUCAGUCUGAGUAUGGUCUGGUGCAGACACUUGAUGAACAUUCCUCCUCCAUCACUGCAGUGCGGUUUGCUGCAAAUGAAGGCAAAAUCAGAAUGAUCAGUUGUGGUGCUGACAAAAGUAUCUAUUUCCGCACAGCACAUAAGACAGAUGAAGGCAUCAUGUUUACACGCACCCACCAUAUUGUGAGGAAGACUACUCUGUACGAUAUGGAUAUUGACCCACUGCGCAAAUACGCUGCUGUUGGCUGCCAGGAUCGUAGCAUCAGGAUCUUUAACAUAAGCAAUGGCAAACAGAAGAAAAUAUACAAGGGCUCUCAGGGGGAGGAUGGCACCCUCAUUAAGGUGCAAAUGGAUCCAUCUGGGAUGUACGUGGCUACCAGCUGCUCCGACAAAAACAUCAACAUUUUUGACUUCUACACUGGGGAGUGUGUAGCCACCAUGUUCGGGCACUCUGAAAUCGUCACUGGGAUGAAGUUUACCAAUGAUUGCAAGCAUCUGAUAUCAGUGUCCGGGGACAGCUGCAUCUUUGUGUGGAGACUAAACCCAGAGCUGACCAUCAGUAUGAAACAAAGACUUUCUGAUCUUAAACAGAAGAGCAAACCUGUACAGAAAAGCCCUCCCACUAAACAACAUCCAGUCAGCACUAGGAGAGAUGUGCACAGUGCUCCAGCUAUAGGCACCAUGUCCUCAGACAGUGAUAAAGAGCCAGAGGAAGAAGAGGUUAUCGAAGAGGAGGAUGAAUACAAUUUUCCUCAUCUAUCUUCCGGCAGCAGCACAGGAGAAGAGACUGGAUCAUCAGAGGAGAAGCAUGACUCAAUACGAGAGAUGAGAAGUAUUUCUAACAGCAGUCCAGCAGGAGAGAGCUCUGAGCCAAGGCAAAGGCGACGCUGGUCCAGGCGAACAGGCAGUGCAGAUUUGAUGGUGAAGUCCAUGCUGGACCUGAGGCAGCUGGAGUCUUUCGCUAAGUCUCCAGUUGUGAACCGAGAGUCUGUGCUGCAUCCAGAUCUGGAUCUUGGCAGUACAAUCAGCCUACAGACCAUCACUGCAUGGGUGGAGGACCCAGAAGUGCAGGUCCCAAGAGGACACACGCGUCCUCAGUACAUCCCACUUUCACCUCAGACGCCAGACACAGAAGCUGUGGUGCUUUACCCUGAGGGCUGUGAGGACAGAGUGAGCCUGGCAGGCAGUGAGUACCAGGUCAAGGAGUUAGCCCAUGAUAUGAGGUUACCUAAAGGAAACCCCUGUCCUGAGAAGCAGAGCCCUGACAGUGCAUGCUCAAUGGAUUAUUCCAACAGCUGUCUGUCCAGCCCAGAUCAGCCUGGAGAAGACUCUGAACCCACUGAGCCACUGAGCGUGGAUGGAAACUCAUCUGAGCUGGACAUGGAAGACCUAGAAGAGGAAGAGGAGGAGAGCUUAAGGAAGACUGAGAUCUGUAGCUUCGUGUCUCAGACUCCAGACCAAGAAGCCUUCCUGAAAAAAAACUUUGCAAACUUGUCAGAUGUCAGCACAUCAGGAAAUCCAAAUCCUCCUCUUCAGCCAGCAAUCACUGACAGCAUCUCAUCAAAGUUCCUUACUGGUUCCACUGGCUGCAGGCAGGCAUUUGUUUCCCCUUCAAGCAAAACUACUGAGAGUAAGGUUGCUAGUGAAUUGGUGCAUCUCGCGGUUUCUGAAGUGCGCCCUCUUAUGGGGGACAGAAAACAGAGCAGCCUGAAAGAACUCCAGAGCCCUGAGAGGCCUUCAGUUCUGCACUUAACUUCUGAGAAGAAACGCAUCCCUGUAGAUAUUUCUGCUGAUUCACUGGGUGCCUCAGCCGGCAUGAGAAAAGCCCAGUCAAUCCACAGCAUCUCUUCAGAGGCUGAUUUGCCUCAGACAUCUACACAUCUUUCAAAGGAGGUUCCCCCUCAGCCCCAGCCUUGCGAGCGUGCUCCACCAUCCACACUGCGCCGCACACUUCCUAGUGUACCUCUCUCGAGCCCAACGUCUACCUUGCCCAGGGACUGCCCUACACCAACUAAGUCCAAGCCACGAUCGUACAUGAGCCCUACCACUAGUUCCAUGGCCAAGAUGUCACGCUCCGUGUCCAUGAGUGACAGCCUGAAUGUGAGUGAACUCAGUGAAGUACCAGCAGGCUCAGACACCAGCCGAAUCUCAGGGUCAGACACUUCCAACCUUCGCAAUUCUUCUCGCAGUAAACCCUCAUCUCCAGUAGUCCCACUGCCCUCUUCAUGUAUUGGGUCUCCCUCCCGUGGUGCUGUUGUACCCACCAUAAGUGGUGCAGCCAAUUCUAACUCUUCUUCUAAAGGCAUCCAAGCCAAAUUACCCAGCAGUGCUCGUCCACAGCUACACCUGGACAUCACCAAGCCUCUCCCAGAUAAGCCUUCCAUGGCCUCCUUCUCUCCUAACAGCAAGAAUACCAAGCUUGGCCAUAAGGAAGAUCUUAAGGAAGGCAACCAGACUCCAGUAAGUGCAGCACCCCUUCCAGGACCAGAGCGUGAUUCCAGCAACCUGCAGCCAGUCAUAUGCUCUGUCCCUACUGACACCAUGCCACUGGAGCAACAGGAGCUAAAUACUGAUCAGUCUGAAGUGCCAGAGAAAGUCCAGGGAAAAGAUACAGAGCUGGAGGAGUCUCAGACCAAGCAAUCAAGUCAGAAUCAGAGCAGCACAGUUUGUCUGCAGGCAGCCAAUCAAGCCCAGGAUUCAGAUGCAUCUCUCAGUAUGGAGUCAUGCAAGCUUGCAGCAAGUGAACUUCAAAAUAGUUUUAAAAAGGCAUGCCACUUCUUCAGGAUGCUAAGCAGCUCCACAGACCAGAGGCAGGAGCAUCAGGAGAUGUCUCAAGUGUUGACUGAGGCGUUCGAUGCAGUACAGGCUGAGAUGAACUCAUUGCCACAUUAUCUAGAAAGCCGCUCUGGCUCCAUCAGCAGCUCCGUGUGUGUGCUGGGGAGUGGGGCAGGAGGUGUGGGUGAGGAACGAACAUUGGCAUUGCUGGAGCAGUAUUCACAGCUUCUUCUCAAAGCUGUGGAGAAGAGAAUGGACAACAAAGUCUGACAUGCUUCAGUUUCAUAAUAAUUACAACAUUCAGGCUGAGGCCGGAUCCCAAGCCAUGACUCUGCGCAGAAGCAGAUUCUUUCAGCACAGAUGAACAGACUCAGUGUGACAGGCAUGGCCAAAUUGCACUAUAGACUGUAAUCUCAUCGGCCUACCUCCCUUUUUUAGCGUGUUAUUACAGCAAUUGUAUAGUCUACACUUCACCUCAUUGCCAAAUAAGGU